This is a non-coding RNA of Solanum lycopersicum (tomato), 394 nucleotides long. The record is from RefSeq and is a predicted model, not a curated record. NCBI's taxonomy places the organism in Eukaryota, Viridiplantae, Streptophyta, Magnoliopsida, Solanales, Solanaceae.
CGUGGACCUUUUUUUUCCAUUCCUAAUCAUCAAGAAUCUCUUCUCUUUUCUUGACCAAAAAAAGAACAAAUUAAAAAGAUCUUUUCCAUUUUCAGUAAUACAAGGAUAUUUUGUACUGCUUUUUUAAAUAAUAAGAUGUGGAUCGACAUUCAUUCGACUCAGAACAAGUGUUCAAUGUAAUAGAUAAAUUGGCCUCUUCUAAUUCUCGACUGUUUUCUAAGAUGGAGAAUGGAGUAAUAAUUAAAUGGUGUGACAAUUGGAAGGCACAAGCAAAUUUAGUCGGCGGCAUCAGGUUUUCAACCCGGCCCUCAUUGGCAAAAAAUUAUACUAUACCUAUGAUGUAAUUUUUACUUUUUAUGCAUAUGUUUAGAACUUUAAUCCUGUCACGACCCAA